RNAcentral lists this ribosomal RNA (933 nucleotides) under uncultured bacterium. Its description in RNAcentral is "bacterial SSU rRNA". It matches the Rfam family "Bacterial small subunit ribosomal RNA", at positions 141 to 1060 of the family's 1533-position model. The record is from RNAcentral.
GAAUAACCGGUCGAAAGGCUGACUAAUACCCCAUGGUAUCCUGCCCUAAGAAGCAAGAUUAAAGGUGGCCGGCAACGGCUGUCGCUGAAGGAUUGGUUCGCGCCCUAUCAGCUUGUUGGCGAGGUAACGGCUCACCAAGGCUACGACGGGUAACUGGUCUGAGAGGACGAUCAGUCACACUGGAACUGAGACACGGUCCAGACACCUACGGGUGGCAGCAGUCGAGAAUAAUUCACAAUGGGGGCAACCCUGAUGGUGCAACGCCGCGUGGAGGAUGACGGUCUUAGGAUUGUAAACUCCUGUCAUCCGGGAGAAAGACCUGACGGUUAAUAGCCGGCAGGGUUGAUAGUACCGGAAGAGGAAGGGACGGCUAACUUCGUGCCAGCAGCCGCGGUAAUACGAAGGUCCCGAGCGUUAUUCGGAAUCACUGGGCGUAAAGGGAGCGUAGCGGCGUAGUAAGUCGGAUGUGAAAUCCCGGGGCUCAACCCCGGAACUGCAUCUGAUACUGCUAUGCUAGAGUAAUGGAGGGGUAGCUGGAAUUCUCGGUGUAGCAGUGAAAUGCGUAGAUAUCGAGAGGAACACUCGUGGCGAAAGCGAGCUACUGGACAUUUACUGACGCUGAGGCUCGAAGGCUAGGGGAGCGAAAGGGAUUAGAUACCCCUGUAGUCCUAGCAGUAAACGGUGCACGCUUGGUGUGAGGGGAUUCGACCCCCCUUGUGCCGGAGCUAACGCGUUAAGCGUGCCGCCUGGGAAGUACGGUCGCAAGACUAAAACUCAAAGAAAUUGACGGGGACCCGCACAAGCGGUGGAGUAUGUGGCUUAAUUCGAUGCAACGCGAAGAACCUUACCAAGGCUUGACAUGGAUUUCUAAGCACGUGAAAGCGUGUGACCCUUCGGGGGACUUCCACAGGUGCUGCAUGGCCGUCGUCAGCU